AUUGAACGCUGGCGGAAUGCUCUACACAUGCAAGUCGAACGGCAGCACGGACUUCGGUCUGGUGGCGAGUGGCGAACGGGUGAGUAAUGUAUCGGAACGUGCCCAGUCGUGGGGGAUAACGUAGUGAAAAUUACGCUAAUACCGCAUACGAUCUAUGGAUGAAAGCGGGGGAUCGCAAGACCUCGCGCGAUUGGAGCGGCCGAUAUCAGAUUAGGUAGUUGGUGGGGUAAAGGCCCACCAAGCCAACGAUCUGUAGCUGGUCUGAGAGGACGACCAGCCACACUGGAACUGAGACACGGUCCAGACUCCUACGGGAGGCAGCAGUGGGGAAUUUUGGACAAUGGGCGAAAGCCUGAUUCAGCCAUUCCGCGUGCAGGGUGAAGGCCCUCGGGUUGUAAACUGCUUUUGUACAGAACGAAAAGGUUUCUACUAAUACUAGGAGCUCAUGACGGUACUGUAAGAAUAAGCACCGGCUAACUACGUGCCAGCCGCCGCGGUAA
This 500-nucleotide ribosomal RNA is filed under the name uncultured bacterium. Its description in RNAcentral is "partial 16S ribosomal RNA". It matches the Rfam family "Bacterial small subunit ribosomal RNA", at positions 30 to 523 of the family's 1533-position model. The record is from RNAcentral.